GACGAACGCUGGCGGCGUGCCUAACACAUGCAAGUUGAGCGACGAACCAGGGCUUGCCCUGUGGCAAAGCAGCGAACGGGUGAGUAACACGUGGGUAACCUACCCCGAUAACCGGGACAACCCGAGGAAACUCGGGCUAAUACCGGAUGUGCUCACUUGACUUCGGUUCAGUGCGUAAAGGAAGCUUCGGCCUCCGUAUCGGGAGGGGCCCGCGGCCCAUUAGUUUGUUGGUGGGGUAACGGCUCACCAAGACCGCGAUGGGUAGCUGGUCUGAGAGGACGAUCAGCCACACUGGGACUGAGACACGGCCCAGACUCCUACGGGAGGCAGCAGUGGGGAAUCUUGCGCAAUGCGCGAAAGCGUGACGCAGCAACGCCGCGUGGGGGAAGAAGGCCUUCGGGUUGUAAACCCCUUUCAGGAGGGACGAAGGUUCGGCGGUGAAUAGCCGUCCGGACUGACGGUACCUCCACAAGAAGCCCCGGCUAACUACGUG
RNAcentral lists this ribosomal RNA (493 nucleotides) under uncultured bacterium. Its description in RNAcentral is "partial 16S ribosomal RNA". It matches the Rfam family "Bacterial small subunit ribosomal RNA", at positions 28 to 507 of the family's 1533-position model. The record is from RNAcentral.